AUUCCUCACACCUUACUCCAGGGUAUUGUUUCUUGUACAUUCCCUGGCAUUACCUGAGGAUAAAAUAAUUGCUCUUAUUCUAACCUUGGGAAGCAUGUUUUCCCAUCAACAGUAAUACAGAGCAGACAUU
Small nucleolar RNA from Spea bombifrons (plains spadefoot toad), 130 nucleotides. RefSeq annotates it as small nucleolar RNA SNORA49. Lineage: Eukaryota; Metazoa; Chordata; Amphibia; Anura; Pelobatidae. The transcript has a single exon. The record is from RefSeq and is a predicted model, not a curated record.